Long non-coding RNA from Sander lucioperca (pikeperch), 204 nucleotides. RefSeq lists it as uncharacterized. The transcript is spliced from 2 exons. NCBI's taxonomy places the organism in Eukaryota, Metazoa, Chordata, Actinopteri, Perciformes, Percidae. The record is from RefSeq and is a predicted model, not a curated record.
CAUUUGACUUACCCUGUGGAUGAUUCCAGCCUUGUGAAUGUACUGCAGAAAGGGAGAGACAGAGCAGGUCACAUCCAAAAUGUCAGCUUUUCCCGGCUCACCCUGAGUCCACAGAGCAUCUGGUAGACGAGAAACUGGACUUUGUCUUCUGUGAGAUGACCUCGCACCUUCGACAGGUCAGUAAACAUGUAAGGCAUCACCAGG